CAUUAGAUGACUGAAGGCAAGUAAUGGUCUCUUAAACCAAAAAAUAGUAAAUUAGCAAUUACUGCUAAUGA
RNAcentral lists this transfer RNA (71 nucleotides) under Geoscapheus dilatatus. RNAcentral's name for it is "tRNA-Lys". Lineage: Eukaryota; Metazoa; Arthropoda; Insecta; Blattodea; Blaberidae. The record is from RNAcentral.